RNAcentral lists this ribosomal RNA (259 nucleotides) under uncultured bacterium. Its description in RNAcentral is "partial 16S ribosomal RNA". It matches the Rfam family "Bacterial small subunit ribosomal RNA", at positions 103 to 354 of the family's 1533-position model. The record is from RNAcentral.
CGGGUGAGUAACACGCGAGUGACCUGCCUUUUAGACUGGAACAACUUACCGAAAGGUGAGGCUAAUGCCGGAUGAGUUAUAUAAGUGCAUGUUUAUAUAGGAAAAGUUGGGAGACCUGACGCUGAAAGAUGGACUCGCGUCCCAUUAGCUAGUUGGUAGGGUAAUGGCCUACCAAGGCGACGAUGGGUAGCCGGCCUGAGAGGGUGGCCGGCCACACUCGGGACUGAGACACGGCCCAGACUCCUACGGGAGGCAGCAG